This 429-nucleotide ribosomal RNA is filed under the name Actinomycetes bacterium. RNAcentral's name for it is "Actinobacteria bacterium partial 16S ribosomal RNA". It matches the Rfam family "Bacterial small subunit ribosomal RNA", at positions 355 to 776 of the family's 1533-position model. Lineage: Bacteria; Bacillati; Actinomycetota; Actinomycetes. The record is from RNAcentral.
UAGGGAAUCUUCCGCAAUGGGCGAAAGCCUGACGGAGCAACGCCGCGUGAGUGAUGAAGGUCUUCGGAUCGUAAAACUCUGUUAUUAGGGAAGAACAAAUGUGUAAGUAACUAUGCACGUCUUGACGGUACCUAAUCAGAAAGCCACGGCUAACUACGUGCCAGCAGCCGCGGUAAUACGUAGGUGGCAAGCGUUAUCCGGAAUUAUUGGGCGUAAAGCGCGCGUAGGCGGUUUUUUAAGUCUGAUGUGAAAGCCCACGGCUCAACCGUGGAGGGUCAUUGGAAACUGGGAAACUUGAGUGCAGAAGAGGAAAGUGGAAUUCCAUGUGUAGCGGUGAAAUGCGCAGAGAUAUGGAGGAAAACCAGUGGCGAAGGCGACUUUCUGGUCUGUAACUGACGCUGGUGUGCGAAAGCGUGGGGAUCAAACAGG